GUCAUGAGCCCGUACCCCGGGGUUGUCGAAAAUAUGUUGAGAGACCUGAACAAAGAAAAGGUCACUCUGCUGAAGGUCGAGCGUGCUGGUGACGUUCUGGCGGAUGCUAUCGCCAAAGUGGCUCAGUCGAUUUUGCUUUUCUGCAAGGGCCAAGGUCUGCUGACUUCGGUUGUCUUGCCCGGAGUGGACCGCAACAGGGCGUUCUCAACCAGCUCGGGUGGUUCAAGUGAUGGAACCCCAGGCGGACGACGCCUAUCCCGUGGAAUGUCCAUGGAAGACUACGAUAAGCCCAAUAUCAGACGACUCAGCAUUACCAUUAAUGAACAACUACCACCGAUCAAGAAGUAAACCGGUGGAGCAUUGAUCAAAAUCGUAGUGACUAUUUCUACCUUGAUUAACAAGUAUAUUUUAUCGAGAAAAGAGAACGAGCAGUUCGAGGGAAUAAAGUA
This is a long non-coding RNA of Ochlerotatus camptorhynchus, 449 nucleotides long. RefSeq lists it as uncharacterized. NCBI's taxonomy places the organism in Eukaryota, Metazoa, Arthropoda, Insecta, Diptera, Culicidae. The transcript has 2 exons. The record is from RefSeq and is a predicted model, not a curated record.